This is a non-coding RNA of Triticum urartu, 293 nucleotides long. NCBI's taxonomy places the organism in Eukaryota, Viridiplantae, Streptophyta, Magnoliopsida, Poales, Poaceae. The record is from RefSeq and is a predicted model, not a curated record.
GGGUUCCUGAUGUGCUUCUCAUGCCCCGCAGACCAUUGACCUGUACGUGGUUUUCGACGUGGCCACUGCCCUACUUCAGGAUGACAGUGGAAGCCAUGUUGUUGUUUUGUUUGUUCCCAGCCCUGACUAUGGUCGUCGAGCGAGUCUGGCAUGUUGUUCAUCUAGUAGAGCUUGUUAGGAGUCUGAAUCUAAGAACUUGUAGAGCUUGUUAGUAUUACAAUUGUAGAGCUUGUUACACUUGUAGAGCUUGUAAAGCAGUAUGGUCUUCUGUAUUGGAAUGGAUAGAGCUUGUA